CAGAUGCGAAAGCGUGGGGAGCAAACAGGAUUAGAUACCCUGGUAGUCCACGCCGUAAACGAUGUCUACUUGGAGGUUGUGGCCUUGAGCCGUGGCUUUCGGAGCUAACGCGUUAAGUAGACCGCCUGGGGAGUACGGUCGCAAGAUUAAAACUCAAAUGAAUUGACGGGGGCCCGCACAAGCGGUGGAGCAUGUGGUUUAAUUCGAUGCAACGCGAAGAACCUUACCUACUCUUGACAUCCAGAGAACUUUCCAGAGAUGGAUUGGUGCCUUCGGGAACUCUGAGACAGGUGCUGCAUGGCUGUCGUCAGCUCGUGUUGUGAAAUGUUGGGUUAAGUCCCGCAACGAGCGCAACCCUUAUCCUUGUUUGCCAGCGAGUAAUGUCGGGAACUCCAGGGAGACUGCCGGUGAUAAACCGGAGGAAGGUGGGGACGACGUCNAGUCAUCAUGGCCCUUACGAAUAGGGCUACACACGUGCUACAAUGGCGCCAUACAG
This 496-nucleotide ribosomal RNA is filed under the name Vibrio sp. R10. Its description in RNAcentral is "bacterial SSU rRNA". It matches the Rfam family "Bacterial small subunit ribosomal RNA", at positions 748 to 1242 of the family's 1533-position model. Lineage: Bacteria; Pseudomonadati; Pseudomonadota; Gammaproteobacteria; Vibrionales; Vibrionaceae. The record is from RNAcentral.